Molecule: ribosomal RNA, 253 nt
Filed under: uncultured bacterium
Lineage: Bacteria
Description: partial 16S ribosomal RNA
Rfam family: Bacterial small subunit ribosomal RNA
Source: RNAcentral
UACGGGGGGGGCAAGCGUUGUUCGGAAUUACUGGGCGUAAAGGGCUUGUAGGUGGCCAACUAAGUCGGACGUGAAAUCCCUCGGCUCAACCGGGGAACUGCGUCCGAUACUGGAUGGCUUGAAUCCGGGAGAGGGAUGCGGAAUUCCAGGUGUAGCGGUGAAAUGCGUAGAUAUCUGGAGGAACACCGGUGGCGAAGGCGGCAUCCUGGACCGGCAUUGACGCUGAGGAGCGAAAGCCAGGGGAGCAAACGGG